AUUAUAGGUAACUGGCUGUGGGUUUAUUUUGCAAUCCUGUGACAUUGUAUCUGCAUGUAAUUAUCAUUCUUUUGUCACACGUACAUUAAACUUUAUACUUGGUGAAGUGCUAGUUAUGUUGUUAGUUUAAUCAUACUACCACCCACUCAAUUAUAUCUCCACUAGAUUGAAGAUUCGUGUUGCAAUGACAAUACUGGCUGCUUGACAGAUUUGAUUGACCAAUGGAUGAAGAGUUAUUCUGGACGACCAACCUGGAGGGAGCUGGCUGAUCAUCUCAGUAAGAUCAGAGAGGAGUAACUGGCAAAGGAUUGCAGGUACUAUGUGGCUGAGAGUGUGAGGCUCUACUCUCAGGAGACCUGGAGGGUGUUCACACAGACCAGGAGAGUGCAACGCAUCCACAAAGUGGUGGACUUCUACAUCUCCCAGAGCCAGGCAGCCAACCAUGCAGUGAGAGAGGCAGCCUGCAUCUGUACUGCAGAGCUGGGCACUAAUGUGAACAAGGAUUGUCUGAGACCGUACUGUUGAAGUGUUUCCAUGACGAUAGCUGGCCAGUGAGAGGCGAUUUCGCCUGUGGUAUAUAUAUAACUUCCUGGGAUGCUUCCUAGAUGAGUGAAGAUCGUGGCUGGAUGAACUGUUCCCACCGUUCUUUGCCAAUCUUGAGGACAGCACACCCUCAGUUAGACAAGGGGCGGCUGCUGCUCUCACUAGUG
Molecule: long non-coding RNA, 710 nt
Organism: Halichondria panicea
Lineage: Eukaryota; Metazoa; Porifera; Demospongiae; Suberitida; Halichondriidae
Exons: 6
Source: RefSeq, a predicted model, not a curated record